Molecule: long non-coding RNA, 982 nt
Filed under: Homo sapiens (human)
Lineage: Eukaryota; Metazoa; Chordata; Mammalia; Primates; Hominidae
Description: HSALNT0325950
Source: RNAcentral
ACACGCCGAGGCCUGAAGAAGAGGAAACAAUGUUCCCGGAGCCUGGUGAAAGCUGCCACCACGAGAGGAUCUGUGUGGCAGGAGCUGUGGCCUCGGACAGUGAACACAGGUACUGCCAGAAUUGUGACAAAGCAGGCAUAAAGCCAGCGAAGAAAUACUCUGAUCCUGCCCUCUUGUCACCUUCCAGUCCCCUGCCAGUACCUCCAAUGUGCCAAAAUAAAGCAGAAGCCGGAGAGUAAGGAUUUCAGAUGAGGCAACCAAAAGAGGUCAGCUUCCCGGGCACAGAACUGGUCAAAAUAGGGUGGAAUGAAUCUGACGGAUGUGGUGGACAUAGAGGGGAGCAGCAUGCCAAGCAGACAUAUCUACUUUCCUGUCUACAAAUCCCAUGCUCUUUUCCCUAUAGGCACUACUGAGAUACAGAGUAAACUAUCAUUGUUUGAAAAAACUAGGAAGGAGACUUCAGUCUUAUUGAGAUAUGUAUUUCUGCAGGUUAGGCUGAAGCCUCUGCAUGUCCCGAUGCCUGAUGGAGAUGGAGGAAUCCUUUCUACCCAGACAGAAGUCACACUAUGUAGCCUGUCCUCUUUAGAACUGAAUCCGAUUGGGAUUUCUUCAUGGUCUCCACCCUGGAAAACCAGCUUGAAUUCUUGUAUGCGGGCCAGAUUCCAAGAGACAUCAUAAUUAGAUCCCAGAAGACUACAUGGCAGCUGAAGAGGAUGUCCCCUGUGGAAUAUAUGGAGGAAAGGCUGGCCAAAGCAAUGUUCACAUUCAUGCAAUUAUCCAGUUAAUUGCACAAGUCAAACCAAGACUUGUUCUAAAGCCACAAUAACAACGAAAUUGAUGCUUUCAUCUCCCAGAAAUAUGGCUGUGCUGUGAUCCAUGAAUUUUAAAUUAGAAGUAAAUCUAGGACUGAACUACUAAUUUUCCCCAUCAGCUGAAGAGUUUUGGCAAUGAACAGCUUGCAGCUGAAUCCCCUUCUGGAAAU